Molecule: ribosomal RNA, 541 nt
Filed under: uncultured archaeon
Lineage: Archaea
Description: bacterial SSU rRNA
Rfam family: Bacterial small subunit ribosomal RNA
Source: RNAcentral
CAGCAGCCGCGGUAAUACGUAGGGGGCAAGCGUUGUCCGGAAUUAUUGGGCGUAAAGGGUGCGUAGGCGGCUUUUUAAGUCAGAUGUGAAAGACCACAGCUUAACUGUGGGGUUGCAUUUGAAACUGGAGAGCUUGAGUAUCGGAGAGGGUAGUGGAAUUCCUGGAGUAGCGGUGAAAUGCGUAGAUAUCAGGAGGAACACCAGUGGCGAAGGCGACUACCUGGACGAAAACUGACGCUGAGGCACGAAAGCUAGGGGAGCAAACAGGAUUAGAUACCCUGGUAGUCCUAGCCGUAAACGAUGGGUACUAGGUGUAGGUGGUUUCGAUACCAUCUGUGCCGCAGUUAACGCAAUAAGUACCCCGCCUGGGGAGUACGUUCGCAAGAAUGAAACUCAAAGGAAUUGACGGGGGCCCGCACAAGCGGUGGAGCAUGUGGUUUAAUUCGAAGCAACGCGAAGAACCUUACCAGGGCUUGACAUCCCUUGACAACCUCAGAGAUGAGGCUUCUCUUCGGAGCAAGGAGACAGGUGGUGCAUGGCC